GCAAGAACUGCUGUAACUGUAGCAUGAUCUUCCGCUACCAGGAGUGGAGUGAUGGAAUAUACAACUUUGAUGAUCACACUCUUGUAUCCUUGCAUCUUUGGAUGUUCCUGCGAAACACUCUCCAGUAAGCUGCAUAGAGCAGCCAUCCCAGAAUUAUGAUGGGAAAGUCAAUGUUGAAGACUUCUGGGAGUCUGUGUCACUAGAAAUGGUCAGUCGGGGAUUGUUACCAAGUAACAAGCAGAGCCCCUUUUUGGUACAGCCCAGUUACCAUAACUGGGCACCAUGGAUUGGUCCCCACACAAGAGGCUCCAGUGUGGUGUCAAACACAGAACACUGCAAAAUCCACACACCAAGGAACCCAAAUGAAGAAUUACAGAGGACCGGCUCA
This is a long non-coding RNA of Acanthopagrus latus (yellowfin seabream), 388 nucleotides long. RefSeq lists it as uncharacterized. Lineage: Eukaryota; Metazoa; Chordata; Actinopteri; Spariformes; Sparidae. The record is from RefSeq and is a predicted model, not a curated record. The transcript is spliced from 3 exons.